Molecule: ribosomal RNA, 185 nt
Filed under: Bacillus cereus
Lineage: Bacteria; Bacillati; Bacillota; Bacilli; Caryophanales; Bacillaceae
Description: partial 23S ribosomal RNA
Rfam family: Bacterial large subunit ribosomal RNA
Source: RNAcentral
GUAGAUCUGUGCGGAAUGGAUAAGUGCUGAAAGCAUCUAAGCAUGAAGCCCCCCUCAAGAUGAGAUUUCCCAUAGCGUAAGCUAGUAAGAUCCCUGAAAGAUGAUCAGGUUGAUAGGUUCGAGGUGGAAGCAUGGUGACAUGUGGAGCUGACGAAUACUAAUAGAUCGAGGACUUAACCAUAUAA